CGGAAAUACGAAGUGUAACCAAUGCUACUGUGGAUACGCCAUUACAGACUACGAUCGCCACGGCAAUCUGCCUCUAGAUGACUGCAGAGUGUUCAGAUGUCCUGGAAACCAGGAUGAAUAUUGUGGUGGAUAUGAUGCACUUCUUGUGUACAAUAUAACAGUGAUGACGACAUCACAAAAAACGUCUACGGAGUUAUCAUCCACUUCAUCUGGCUCGUCUACUCUAAGAACACCUAUUACAAAUUCAACAGACAUGCUACACGGGGGAGGAACUCCUCGACAUUCACGGAAUCGAACACGAAGCUAGUAUCACGGAGUCCCAGUACGCAGCCCUGUGUCCAUCCCUAGUCCAGCAGAUCCUCUCCGGUUCCUGCAGCAGUGAUGAACAUAAUGACCCAACUGAUGCGAUUACAAACGCCGAGAUUUGGGGCUAUGGUAACCUGGUCGUCCUCAUCAUCAGUCUCCUCGCUGUUUUCGGGGCUAUUUUUGUUCCAUGCAUGUCCGGUUUCGUGUACGAGGCUGUUAUUCAGACAAUGAUGGCGCUCGCCGUAGCAACGUUGACAGGGGAUGCCUUGUUACAUCUAAUACCGCAGGUAACCAUUCUCUCAAUAUAAUGCAAAGGAG
Lytechinus pictus (painted urchin) is the source of this 624-nucleotide long non-coding RNA. RefSeq lists it as uncharacterized. Lineage: Eukaryota; Metazoa; Echinodermata; Echinoidea; Temnopleuroida; Toxopneustidae. The record is from RefSeq and is a predicted model, not a curated record. The transcript has 4 exons.